Molecule: long non-coding RNA, 3994 nt
Organism: Gorilla gorilla gorilla (western lowland gorilla)
Lineage: Eukaryota; Metazoa; Chordata; Mammalia; Primates; Hominidae
Exons: 3
Source: RefSeq, a predicted model, not a curated record
UCCCAGGCUGGAGUGCAAUGGCAUGUUCUUGGCUCACUGCAACCUCUGCCUCCUGGGUUCAAGCAAUUCUGCUGCCUCAGCCUCCUGAGUAGCUGGGAUUACAGGUGCAUGCCACGACUCCCAGCUAAUUUUUUGUAUCUUUAGUAGAGACGGGGUUUCACCAUGUUGGUCAAGCUGGUCUCAAACUCCUGACCUCAUGAUCUGCCCACCUUGGCCUCCCAAAGUGCUGGAAUUACAGGCGUGAGCCACUGCGCCCAGCCCACAAUUGUUUUUAUAGAGAGGGGGUCUUGCUCCAUCACCCGUGCUGAAAUGCAGUGGCAUAAUCAUAGCUCACUGAAGCCUGGAACUCCAGGGCUCAAGCAAUCCUCCUGCCUCAGUCUCCCAAGUAGCUAAGACCACAGGUGUGCACCAUCACACCAGCUUGAUUUAUUUUUUAAUUUUAAUUUUCUGUAGAGAUGGAAGUUGCUAUGUUUUCCAGACUUGUCUUGAACUCCUGGCUUCAAGCAAUACUGCCUCAGCCUCUCAAAGUGUUGGGAUGACAGGUGAGAGCCACUGCACACAGCCAACCAUCACAAUUACUCAGAAAGAAGUGAGAGAAACUUGAUAUUUGGCAUGGAAAAAUACCUUCAUCAUUAUUCCUUGAUCCUGGUGACUACUCCUCUUUCCAUAGAUUUCUAGCCAUUACAGGCUGGUGACACCACAGGCAUACAGAUAACGCUAUUUCAGAAGACACAGAAAUGGCUUGUCUUCAGCACCGUUGGCCGUGGACAGCUCCCCAGGCAAAGCUGAGCUUUUGCUUUUGCUACCAAACCAAAUGGUCCAGCCCUUUGGUUUGUCUCCAUGCAGGGCCUGUGGCAGCCCAGAACUCGCAACCUGUGGUGGCAGAGCAUUCCACAUUUCAGAACCAAGAAGUAACAGCUACCCUCACUGGCAUAGCUUCAGCAUUUCCUCAUUUAAUCCUCACGACUCUUAUCAGGCAGAUGUUAUUUUUGUUCCUCUUUUGCAGAGAAAACUGAAGCAAAGAGAGAAGAGAUGAGUGGAAGAACCAGAACUCAAGCCUGGUUCUUUCUGACACCAAUGUCUGUGCUCUCAGUCCCUGCGCUUGUUUUCUAGUGAGCACUAGCAGACACUUGCAGAGGUCUUCACUGCCUCUCGGAUGCCCAAGCAUGGAUGUUUUCUCUAUCAUUGCAGACAAUUCAUAGUUGGAGUCUUACUAGAGCAAACUCAGCAAUCCUGGGAGGGGUAGGAAGAGAGAAGGCUUUUCCUAGCUCACCCCCUCCUGAGUUUGAAAGGGCGCUCUCAGCUUAAUGUGUCAUCUGGCAAGCAGCCAGGGGAUUAUGAAGACUGGACAAACCAUUCCAGAGUUCGCCUAUAGAUGCUAAAACAAGAGAGCCUGGGCAAUGGGAGUGAGAUCCCAUAUCAAAAAAGAAGAAGAAGAGGAAGAGGAAGAAGAAGAGGGAGAGGAAGAGGAAGAGGAAGAAGAAGAGGGAGAGGAAGAGGAAGAGGAAGAAGAAGAGGGAGAGGAAGAGGAAGAACAAGAAGAAGAAGAGGAAGAAGAAGAAGGAGAAGCUGGAACAAGGCUGCCUGCCUUAAUCCUUCUCACUAUGUGAGUUUAGGUAAGCUGUUGUCCUCUAUGUGCCUCAGUUUCCCAUUUGUAAAAGGGAUAAUAGCUUUCUACCUCAUGAGAUUAAGUGAUUUGAAUUAUGUAAUACGUUUAAAAUGGGUCUGGAAACAUAGACAGCUCUAAAUAAUUCUUUGUUGUUGUUUUUAUUAUCGUUUUAUUUUGAUGAUUCUUCAAAGAACCUUAUGUGGUAGAUAUUAUUAGUCUUAGUCCCAUUUUCUAGAUGCUAAAACUAAUAAGGUAGAAAUUGAUGAUUCACCGAAGUAACAGUAGGUGUUUAUAACACAUACUAUUCUGGCUGGCAAUGUGGUAUAACAAAUUCACAAAACUUUAUACCGUUAAACAACCACAAUUUCAUUAUGCUCAUAUAUUCUGUGGUGGAAGGACUAGAGCACUAUACAAAAAGGUUGUUUCCCUCCAUGGUAUCUGGUGUCUUAGAUGGAAAAUCCCAAAUGGUUGCUACUGAAAUCCUCUGGAGUCUUCUUAAUUUAUAUGUUUUGGAUCUAGGCUGGUAUGAAACAAAAACUGGGUCACCUGGGAUGGUUGAUUGGAGUUUCUACAUAUGGCCUCUCCAUAUGGCUUGGGCUUCCUCACAGCAUGGAGACCUUAGAGUAGUCCAACUUCAUAGAGCAGCUCAGAGCUCCAAAAUUUAAUGUUCUAGUGACAAAGUUAGAAGCUGCAUGAUCUUUAUAACCUAACCUUGGACAUCACAUACCAUCAUUUCAUACUCUAGUGGUCAAAGCAAUCACUAGCCCAACUGUGUUCAAGGCAAGAAGACAUAGACUCAUUUUCCAUGGGAGAAAUGUCAUGGACUUUGCAGCUAUGCUUUAUAGCCAACACACAAACUGUUAGACCUGAUGCUACCUUUGUGUCUAGAUGUUGACAGCUGUUACUUACUCCAUCAAGAGUACAGUGUGGCUCUUGAAAAGCUCAAAGCUCAGAGUAUGAACUACUUGAGGCACUUUCUCAGUACUUGUGAGCCCAGCUCUUGGCAGCAUUGCCAUCUUGGAAGCUAUUUGCAUUCACACUUAUGCAAUUUCUCUCCCAUGAAUAUUCAGGUUCCCACUCACUUGCCUGGGCCUGUGUGUGCCUGUGUGUGUGCAUGUGAACGUGUAUGCCUGCAUAGUAUCAGCCUCUUCUGUCUUCAUCAUUCCACCCUCCUACUUCAUUUUCCUUCCCCGCUUUUCCCUUCUACUUCUUUCUUUCCAGUGGAUUCAAUUAGUUCUCUUUGCUGCCUUAGCAAUAAAACAGUUCCCUCCGCAGCAUUUGAAUGAGUCUCUGUCAUUAUUUCAUUUAGAUUGUUGUUAUGUUUGAAAACUUCAGGGCAGGGCAGGCAGGAGGAAAGGAAUGUUAAUUUGCAGGGAGUCCCCAUUGUGUAGUGGAAGUGCUGUGGAACAGGAGCCAAGAAGCUGCCACUUGAUGUAACCAUAGGUACGUAAAUAAUUGAUGAGGAAUGCUUAAAACUGCACAACUCCUGUGUCUGCUCCUGCUGAGACCCGUGACCUUGCAGGAGAGAGCAGUUGCGCAGGUUCUGACCAUGGCCUGGUUUGCAAUGGCUGAUUGACCAACUCCUUUUGCCUUUUGAAUAGAAAUAUUUCCUCUGAAAGUGCGUGUGUGCGGAUGUGGAUGGAUGUGUGUAUUUAUGUGUGCUCAUGUGUGUAUGUAUGCAUGUGGCUUCAUUCAGUUUCCCUCCAUACACUCCUAUUAUGGAGAUGCUCUUUCACUAUGGCCAUCACUGGGAAAAUGCAGUAGGUGGCAGAGACUGCACUUAGUAUCCUUGUAAUUUGACUCACAGAAUGUCAGAGGAUGUUACACAAAGCAAGGAAUUAAGCUCCGUGAGUGCUGGAGUGACAUUGAUUAUGUAGGAAUGACAUAUAAAUAAUUACAAAGCACUCAGGGUUUUUGUUAGUAAUCUGUGUUUGGAGUCCCCUUUCAGGAGUUUGAAAUGUCAUCAUGUAGCUGAAUAGUGCUAACAGACCUGCAUUUCACUCCUGCUUCACACUGUGCUAAACAGGAAUCAUAUUUGUUACUAUGCUGAAGAACAUCUUAGUGGAAAAAAUAAAAAGGGCUGGUGUGGAGUAAGCAGGAUUAGAUUUAAAUCUAAUUGCCUUUCCUGUUUUCCACUGCUAUUUGGAUUACACACAGUGGUAGUAUUUGUGGGAAACGAGGGUUAGUUUGCUUGCUGGAAGGUACAAGGAGGAAAGGCUGGUACUGGAGCAAUCGGGAGCAAUCCCAGACCACAGUGGAUGAAAGGAGGUCCCUAUGUUGUUGUACAUUAGAUUGUUUUUUAAAAAAUGGCUUUCCUGCUGCGUUUCUGUGACUAGUAAGUUUCAAAUCUACUCAACUGCUUCCAUUUCCCUUUUUUUUUUUUUU